RNAcentral lists this long non-coding RNA (891 nucleotides) under Sinocyclocheilus anshuiensis. RNAcentral describes it as "lncRNA (ENSSANG00000043517.1)". The record is from RNAcentral. Lineage: Eukaryota; Metazoa; Chordata; Actinopteri; Cypriniformes; Cyprinidae.
GCACCUUUUAAAUGUAAAAACUUUUUAAAAAUUAAACUUGUCUACAUACCAUCAGCGCUAUUUGGAGUUGGAUGACCAGUUUGAGCAAGAGAGGAGGGCAAUGCGUGCAAGAGAAAAGGAGAGAGAAAGGAGAGAAAGACAGCUGGAGAAGAAAGCCAGGGAACAAGCUGAUCAAUUGAUGGCUUUGGAGGAGCAGAAAGCAAAUCUGACACGAGAGCUGAGCUCAAUCAAACAUACACAUAACAAGUUAGUACUGACACACCGAGAUCUGCUGGAAAAGAAAAAGGAGUGGGAGAGUGAAGCCUUCACUUUUAGGAAUCAUGUGCACAGCAAACAUUCGGAAGCAGAAACAGACACCUCCACUGAAGAGCAUGAUCCAAAAGCUGUUAGUGCCCCUGAUUCCACUGCGUCAGAAAUGAUCGAUACCAGCAACAGCAAAGUGACAGAUGCUGAAGUUAACCAUAAUAAUGAUCCGUCCUUUAACAGUGGCAUCAUAAGCUCCACCCCUGAGUUGGCUCAUUUGAAGGGUUUUAUUGAAAAAAGCUCCCUUGUUUGUUCAAAGACAGCAACUUCUGAAUUCAACUCUAGUUUGUUUGAUGAAAUGAAACAAGCACAGGAGGAUAAGAGAGAGGUGGAUGAAGACCAGAAGGUGAAAGAUGGAGAAAAAACGAAGGAGGAGGAAGAGACGGAUAAUGACUCUGAUUUCUUGGAAUGGGAGUUGAGAAAUACAGACUCUGUGUUUUCAGAGUUAUCUGAACUCAGCAAGGAAUAUGUAGAAAACGUCGACCAGGGGGCCAGUGUCAGAGGUACAAUCAUGUGUUUAAUUUGAAUGUAUGUGUGUUGUUUAGAAGAAAUUUCAAUUGCAAACAGGGAGAAUAGCAUCAAUCCUAU